CGCCUCUUGCACCCACAUAAGAGGUCCAGCCUGCCCAGUGACUAAGUUCAACGGCCGCGGUAUCCUAACCGUGCGAAGGUAGCGUAAUCACUUGUUCUUUAAAUGAGGACUAGUAUGAAUGGCACCACGAGGGUUAUGCUGUCUCCUUUUUCUAAUCAAUGAAACUGAUCUCCCCGUGAAGAAGCGGGGAUGCAUAUAUAAGACGAGAAGACCCUAUGGAGCUUUAAACCAUGUAACACUGGCUACCACAUUAUAAUAUUUCAGAAUUAUCAUAAUUAUUCUAGCCAUUAUGAUUACUAGUUUUAGGUUGGGGUGACCACGGAGCAAAAAUUAACCUCCAUGUUGAAAGGAGCUUUUCCUGAGCCCUAAGCCACGACUUUAAGCACUAACAAAUUAACAUUAAUUGACCCAAUAUUUUGAUCAACGAACCAAGUUACCCUAGGGAUAACAGCGCA
This 455-nucleotide ribosomal RNA is filed under the name Dendropsophus aff. minutus. RNAcentral's name for it is "partial 16S ribosomal RNA". It matches the Rfam family "Bacterial large subunit ribosomal RNA", at positions 1817 to 2484 of the family's 2925-position model. The record is from RNAcentral. Lineage: Eukaryota; Metazoa; Chordata; Amphibia; Anura; Hylidae.